GCCGGAGUGGUGGAACUGGCAGACACAAGGGACUUAAAAUCCCUCGUCCGCAAGGGCGUACGGGUUCAAAUCCCGUCUCCGGCA
Molecule: transfer RNA, 84 nt
Filed under: Nitrospiraceae bacterium
Lineage: Bacteria; Pseudomonadati; Nitrospirota; Nitrospiria; Nitrospirales; Nitrospiraceae
Also listed under: 1 other name
Description: tRNA-Leu
Rfam family: tRNA
About the family: Transfer RNA (tRNA) molecules are approximately 80 nucleotides in length. Their secondary structure includes four short double-helical elements and three loops (D, anti-codon, and T loops).
Source: RNAcentral